CCUUGGUACGUGUACCAAGUUGACGGUACUGUAAGAAUAAGGAUCGGCUAACUCCGUGCCAGCAGCCGCGGUAAUACGGAGGAUCCAAGCGUUAUCCGGAAUCAUUGGGUUUAAAGGGUCCGUAGGUGGUUUAAUAAGUCAGAGGUGAAAUCCUGCAGCUCAACUGUAGAAUUGCCUUUGAUACUGUUAAACUUGAGUCAUUGUGAAGUAGUUAGAAUGUGUAGUGUAGCGGUGAAAUGCAUAGAUAUUACACAGAAUACCGAUUGCGAAGGCAGAUUACUAACAAUGCACUGACACUGAUGGACGAAAGCGUGGGUAGCGAACAGGAUUAGAUACCCUGGUAGUCCACGCCGUAAACGAUGGUCACUAGCUGUUCGACCAACAAUGGUUGGUUGAGUGGCUAAGCGAAAGUGAUAAGUGACCCACCUGGGGAGUACGCUCGCAAGAGUGAAACUCAAAGGAAUUGACGGGGGCCCGCACAAGCGGUGGAGCAUGUGGUUUAAUUCGAUGAUACGCGAGGAACCUUACCAGGGCUUAAAUGUACGUUGCAUGAUUUAGAGAUAGAUCUUUCUUCGGACUACGUACAAGGUGCUGCAUGGUUGUCGUCAGCUCGUGCCGUGAGGUGUCAGGUUAAGUCCUAUAACGAGCGCAACCCCUGUCGUUAGUUGCCAGCAUUUAAAGAUGGGUACUCUAGCGAGACUGCCGGUGCAAACCGCGAGGAAGGUGGGGAUGACGUCAAAUCAUCACGGCCCUUACGUCCUGGGCUACACACGUGCUACAAUGGCCGGUACAGAGAGCAGCCACCACGCGAGUGGGAGCGAAUCUAUAAAACCGGUCUCAGUUCGGAUCGCAGUCUGCAACUCGACUGCGUGAAGCUGGAAUCGCUAGUAAUCGGAUAUCAGCCAUGAUCCGGUGAAUACGUUCCCGGGCCUUGUACACACCGCCCGUCAAGCCAUGGAAGCUGGGAGUACCUGAAGUCGGUGACCGCAAGGAGCUGCCUAGGAUAAAACUAGUAACUGGGGCU
RNAcentral lists this ribosomal RNA (1024 nucleotides) under uncultured bacterium. RNAcentral's name for it is "bacterial SSU rRNA". It matches the Rfam family "Bacterial small subunit ribosomal RNA", at positions 451 to 1482 of the family's 1533-position model. The record is from RNAcentral.